ACAUGCUAAAAAUCCCGACUUCGGAAGGGUUGUAUUUAUUAGAUUAAAAACCAAUGCCCCUCGGGGCUCUCUGGUGAAUCAUGAUAACUAGUCGAAUCGACAGGCCUUGUGCCGGCGAUGGCUCAUUCAAAUUUCUUCCCUAUCAACUUUCGAUGUUUGGGUAUUGGCCAAACAUGGUGGCAACGGGUAACGGAGGGUUAGGGCUCGACCCCGGAGAAGGAGCCUGAGAAACGGCUACUACAUCCAAGGAAGGCAGCAGGCGCGCAAAUUACCCAAUCCCGACACGGGGAGGUAGUGACAAUAAAUACUGAUACAGGGCUCUUUUGGGUCUUGUAAUCGGAAUGAGUACAAUUUAAAUCCCUUAACGAGGAACAAUUGGAGGGCAAGUCUGGUGCCAGCAGCCGCGGUAAUUCCAGCUUCAAUAGCGUAUAUUAAAGUUGUUGUGGUUAAAAAGCUCGUAGUUGAACCUUGGGCCUGGCUGGCCGGUCCGCCUCACCGCGUGCACUGGUCCGGCCGGGCCUUUCCCUCUGCGGAACCCCAUGCCCUUCACUGGGUGUGGCGGGGAAACAGGACUUUUACUUUGAAAAAAUUAGAGUGCUCAAGGCAGGCCUAUGCUCGAAUACAUUAGCAUGGAAUAAUAGAAUAGGACGUGUGGUUCUAUUUUGUUGGUUUCUAGGACCGCCGUAAUGAUUAAUAGGGACAGUCGGGGGCAUCAGUAUUCAAUUGUCAGAGGUGAAAUUCUUGGAUUUAUUGAAGACUAACUACUGCGAAAGCAUUUGCCAAGGAUGUUUUCAUUAAUCAGGAACGAAAGUUAGGGGAUCGAAGACGAUCAGAUACCGUCGUAGUCUUAACCAUAAACUAUGCCGACUAGGGAUCGGACGAUGUUACAUUUUUGACGCGUUCGGCACCUUACGAGAAAUCAAAGUGCUUGGGCUUCAGGGGGAG
RNAcentral lists this ribosomal RNA (945 nucleotides) under Trichoderma deliquescens. RNAcentral's name for it is "SSU rRNA". It matches the Rfam family "Eukaryotic small subunit ribosomal RNA", at positions 169 to 1123 of the family's 1831-position model. Lineage: Eukaryota; Fungi; Ascomycota; Sordariomycetes; Hypocreales; Hypocreaceae. The record is from RNAcentral.